Panthera uncia (snow leopard) is the source of this 317-nucleotide long non-coding RNA. RefSeq lists it as uncharacterized. The record is from RefSeq and is a predicted model, not a curated record. NCBI's taxonomy places the organism in Eukaryota, Metazoa, Chordata, Mammalia, Carnivora, Felidae. The transcript has 2 exons.
UCAGAGCAUUCUGUUCUCUUUUCCAUUGUGUUGUCAUAGGGAGAGGCAUAAAUUAUCGAAGCAAAUAAGGCUCAUUUUGAGAGACAGUCAUUGGAACUAUUGAGAAAAAAAUUGGUGUUGUUGAGAGAUUAUAUGAAGCCUGGAGCUGUUGGCAGCCAUCUUUCCACCAUGAUAGCAGAGCCUGCCAAAGAAAUGAAGUUACAGAGAAAAGCAUUCCUCAGACAGGAAAUGAUGGCCUGUUCUAGGACAGCCAGUGUCGCUUGGCCUAUUGUACUGAAGAAUAAAUGAGUAAGAGUCUUGAUUACCUUACAAAUAAA